Molecule: ribosomal RNA, 388 nt
Filed under: uncultured bacterium
Lineage: Bacteria
Description: bacterial SSU rRNA
Rfam family: Bacterial small subunit ribosomal RNA
Source: RNAcentral
AAUGAACGCUGGCGGCGUGCUUAACACAUGCAAGUCGAACGCGAAAGUUCCUUCGGGGAUGAGUAGAGUGGCAAACGGGUGAGUAACACGUGGGUAACCUGCCCUUCAGUGGGGGAUAACGUUGCGAAAGCGGCGCUAAUACCGCAUGACAAACUGCUAAAACAGUUAGACGGUUUUAAAGCAGCAAUGCGCUGAAGGAGGGGCCCGCGGCCCAUUAGCUAGUUGGUGGGGGUAAUGGCCUACCAAGGCUCCGAUGGGUAGCCGGCCUGAGAGGGUGUACGGCCACACUGGAACUGAGACACGGUCCAGACUCCUACGGGAGGCAGCAGUGGGGAAUAUUGCGCAAUGGGCGAAAGCCUGACGCAGCGACGCCGCGUGGGUGAUGAAG